RNAcentral lists this ribosomal RNA (245 nucleotides) under uncultured Desulfomonile sp. Its description in RNAcentral is "partial 16S ribosomal RNA". It matches the Rfam family "Bacterial small subunit ribosomal RNA", at positions 524 to 768 of the family's 1533-position model. The record is from RNAcentral. Lineage: Bacteria; Pseudomonadati; Thermodesulfobacteriota; Desulfomonilia; Desulfomonilales; Desulfomonilaceae.
GACGGAGGGUGCAAGCGUUGUUCGGAUUGACUGGGCGUAAAGGGCGUGUAGGCGGUUGCCCAAGUCCGAUGUGAAAGCCCGGGGCUUAGCCUCGGAAGUGCAUCGGAAACUAGGCAGCUGGAGCGCGAUAGAGGAGGGUAGAAUUCCUGGUGUAGCGGUGAAAUGCGUAGAUAUCAGGAGGAAUACCGGCGGCGAAGGCGGCCCUCUGGAUCGUUGCUGACGCUGAGACGCGAAAGCGUGGGGAG